Molecule: ribosomal RNA, 447 nt
Filed under: uncultured bacterium
Lineage: Bacteria
Description: bacterial SSU rRNA
Rfam family: Bacterial small subunit ribosomal RNA
Source: RNAcentral
UGGGGAAUCUUGGACAAUGGGCGCAAGCCUGAUCCAGCCAUGCCGCGUGGAUGAUGAAGGCCUUAGGGUUGUAAAAUCCUUUCGCCGAGGACGAUAAUGACGGUACUCGGAGAAGAAGCUCCGGCUAACUUCGUGCCAGCAGCCGCGGUAAUACGAAGGGGGCUAGCGUUGUUCGGAUUUACUGGGCGUAAAGCGCGUGUAGGCGGGUCGUUAAGUUGGGGGUGAAAUCCCGAGGCUCAACCUCGGAACUGCCUUCAAAACUGGCGACCUGGACCCAAGUAGAGGCAAGUGGAAUUGCGAGUGUAGAGGUGAAAUUCGUAGAUAUUCGCAGGAACACCAGUGGCGAAGGCGACUUGCUGGACUUGUGGUGACGCUGAGACGCGAAAGCGUGGGGAGCAAACAGGAUUAGAUACCCCUGUAGUCCCUGAGCGGGCUGGCAAGGCGCAU